This 1490-nucleotide ribosomal RNA is filed under the name Mugil capurrii (narrowhead grey mullet). Its description in RNAcentral is "partial 16S ribosomal RNA". It matches the Rfam family "Bacterial large subunit ribosomal RNA", at positions 269 to 2570 of the family's 2925-position model. Lineage: Eukaryota; Metazoa; Chordata; Actinopteri; Mugiliformes; Mugilidae. The record is from RNAcentral.
CCUAACAGCUAGCCCACCAACCCAGUUAACACUUAUUUAUACAUACCUCUUCAUGUACUAAAAUAAAAAACCAAACCAUUUCACCCCCUAAGUAUGGGCGACAGAAAAGAAACUAUGGAGCAAUAGAAAAAGUACCGCAAGGGAACGCUGAAAGAGAAAAUGAAACAACCCAGUAAAGCUAAAAAAAGCAGAGCCCACACCUCGUACCUUUUGCAUCAUGAUUUAGCAAGCAAUAAUCAAGCAAAAGGCAUUUUAGUUUGACCCCCCGAAACCAAGUGAGCUACUCCAAGACAACCUGAACAUAGGGUAAACCCGUCUCUGUGGCAAAAGAGUGGGAAGAGCUUUGAGUAGAGGUGAUAGACCUAUCGAACUUGGUAAUAGCUGGUUGCUUGAGAAAUGAAUAGAAGUUCCGCUUCUUAUAUUCUUACCCCCUUCUGGCUUCAUGCCUUACCACAGAUAAAAGAAAAUUAAGAAAGUUAGUCAAAGGGGGUACAGCCCCUUUGAAACAAGAUACAACUUUUUCAGGAGGAUAAAGAUCAUAAUUCAUUAAAGUACUAGUGCUUUGGUGGGCCUAAGAGCAGCCACCCAAUCAGAAAGCGUUAAAGCUCGAGCACUCCUACCUCUCUAAUUCCGAUAAUUAAUCUUAACCCCCUAAAUAUAUCAAGCCGCCCCAUUAAAACAUGGGAGUGAUAAUGCUAAUAUGAGUAACAAGAGAAUAAGUCUCUCUCCCCGCACGUGUGUAAAUCGGAACGGACCCCCCACCGAAACUUAACGGGCCCAAACUAAGAGGGCAUUGAAUAAAAGAUAAGCUACUAGAAAACUAUCCAAAAUCCCACCGUUAACCCCACACUGGCGUGCCCCCUGGGAAAGGCUAAAAGGAAAAGAAGGAACUCGGCAAACAUACUACAAGCCUCGCCUGUUUACCAAAAACAUCGCCUCUUGCAAACUUCGUAUAAGAGGUCCUGCCUGCCCUGUGACCCCUGGUUUAACGGCCGCGGUAUUCUGACCGUGCAAAGGUAGCGCAAUCACUUGUCCCUUAAAUGAGGACCCGUAUGAAUGGCACGACGAGGGCUUAACUGUCUCCUUUUCCCAGCCAAUGAAAUUGAUCUUCCCGUGCAGAAGCGGGAAUUCUAACAUAAGACGAGAAGACCCUAUGGAGCUUUAGACGCUGGCACAGACCAUUCUAACUACCCCCCCCCCCUUUUUUUUAAGGGGGUUAGAAUAAUUGAGAUCUGUCCCCCGUCUUUGGUUGGGGCGACCACGGGGAACAAAAAAACCCCCAUGUGGAUAGAGAGAACACCCCUCCCACAGCUAAGAGCCACAGCUCUAAACCACAGAAUUUCUGACCAAAAUGAUCCGGCAACGCCGAUCAACGGACCCAGUUACCCUAGGGAUAACAGCGCAAUCCUCUUUAAGAGUCCAUAUCGACAAGAGGGUUUACGACCUCGAUGUUGGAUCAAGACAUCCUAAUGGUGCAACCGCUAUUAAGG